AAGAAAAUGACCAUAUAACUGAAUUUGAAUCAUGAGAUGCCACAUUCUUAGAGAAUGAUUUUCCAAAAAAUGGUGAGAUAGGUCAAGACUUAUCUCUAUAUGAAAUUCAAAACCAAAUUGUUCCACCCUACAAAUAUAAAUGGACACACUAUAUUCGAAUGGGAGUGAUAUGAGAUUCAAUGAAUCUGUUUCAAUUAAAACCCAAUCACAACCAAUGGUGGCCC
This 224-nucleotide long non-coding RNA is filed under the name Carica papaya (papaya). RNAcentral describes it as "long non-coding RNA (CPAP_LNC007720)". Lineage: Eukaryota; Viridiplantae; Streptophyta; Magnoliopsida; Brassicales; Caricaceae. The record is from RNAcentral.